GGCGUCGACCGGCGCACGGGUGAGUAACGCGUAUCCAACCUGCCUCUGACUGAGGGAUAACCCGUCGAAAGUCGGCCUAAUACCUCAUGGCAUCGUCUGCGGGCAUCCAACGACGAUUAAAGAUUUCAUCGGUCAGGGAUGGGGAUGCGUCUGAUUAGCUUGUUGGCGGGGUAACGGCCCACCAAGGCUACGAUCAGUAGGGGUUCUGAGAGGAAGGUCCCCCACAUUGGAACUGAGACACGGUCCAAACUCCUACGGGAGGCAGCAGUGAGGAAUAUUGGUCAAUGGGCGGGAGCCUGAACCAGCCAAGUAGCGUGCAGGAUGACGGCCCUAUGGGUUGUAAACUGCUUUUAUGCGGGGAUAAAGUGAGGGACGUGUCCUUCAUUGCAGGUACCGCAUGAAUAAGGACCGGCUAAUUCCGUGCCAGCAGCCGCGGUAAUACGGAAGGUCCGGGCGUUAUCCGGAUUUAUUGGGUUUAAAGGGAGCGUAGGCCGUGGAUUAAGCGUGUUGUGAAAUGCAGGUGCUCAACGUCUGCACUGCAGCGCGAACUGGUCCACUUGAGUGUGCGCAACGCAGGCGGAAUUCGUCGUGUAGCGGUGAAAUGCUUAGAUAUGACGAAGAACUCCGAUUGCGAAGGCAGCUUGCGGGAGCACAACUGACGCUGAAGCUCGAAAGUGCGGGUAUCGAACAGGAUUAGAUACCCUGGUAGUCCGCACG
RNAcentral lists this ribosomal RNA (717 nucleotides) under Prevotella sp. HGA0217. Its description in RNAcentral is "bacterial SSU rRNA". It matches the Rfam family "Bacterial small subunit ribosomal RNA", at positions 87 to 801 of the family's 1533-position model. The record is from RNAcentral. RNAcentral also lists the same sequence under 1 other name. Lineage: Bacteria; Pseudomonadati; Bacteroidota; Bacteroidia; Bacteroidales; Prevotellaceae.